Molecule: long non-coding RNA, 1230 nt
Organism: Hylaeus anthracinus
Lineage: Eukaryota; Metazoa; Arthropoda; Insecta; Hymenoptera; Colletidae
Exons: 2
Source: RefSeq, a predicted model, not a curated record
AACGUUUGAUCUAAUUGAUUUACAAACUAACUGACAUGCAAGAAUAUUUCCACUUGCUAUGUCAUAUAAAAUUCAAAUAAAAAAGUUUUCACUAUGGUUAUUAUAUGUUCCACGUUCGUAGAAACACGAAGAAAUUUAACAAUGAACAAUUUUAAUUAUUUGUAUUACGUUUCAUUAAUAUUUAUGCAACGACAGAGCUAUAUGUCGAUGUGAUAUCGUCAUUGCAUAAUGUAGUGUAAUAGGAGAUGUUUUUGCAAAAAUUUACAUACGGACGUCCACUACGACAAUCGUAUCUGCAUUCCCAACCGGGUGGCAAUUGACUCCUGUCACUUUCUUCAGCCAUCUUUACGUAUUUUGUUAACUCAGAGAAAGCCCUUCCGGCUCUUCCUAGAGUUAAUGCUAUGUAUUUACUGAUCACGAUACUAUCUAAUUACAAGACGUUAUUUAUUACACGAAAUCACCUACUCUAGUGAUAAAUUGUUUCGUUCAUUACAUAAUUAAGCGUCGAAUGUCCCGCAAUACAAACUAUUAUUUAUAGUGCGUGAAAACUUUGUUUAUAUUUUAAUAUCGAUCACUAAUACAAAGAUUUACGCCUCAUAUUGGUGAGCAAAGUAUAUUUCAAAAUAUAUUGACAAAUCAAGUUAAUGAGUGUUGUGUGAUACUUUAUUUGUUAUAUUAAAUUUUAUUAUAUACAUAAAUAUCUUAUUUGUUUCUGAAACUUACUUAAAUUCAUAUUUUUUAAUACUUACACAUGUUGAGUACAUAAAUAUGUUUCAUAUCAUGUACAUGUAGCAUAUAAAAUUAACUAGAAAGAAUAGAAAUAUAUUAUUAACAUUUAUUCAUUAAAACAUACAAUUGAUAAUGUAUCUAUAACAUAAGGGAAAAUAAAUUAUAUCAUAAAAGAACAAAGAGUUUUUAGUAAAAUAUAUAUUUUAAAGAAUAAUACAUAAAAUUAAAUAUUUAUUGUGCUCCUCUAUCAUAGAAUUUGAGAUUAGAUAAGUUCACAAUUUUUUAGAAGUAUAAUGCCAGAAAUGGUUUGUACCAUAAAUCCAUAAUUACAUGUUUAAGUUAAUAUUUUUGAAUUUGUAUUUUAAAAAUUGAAAUUUCCUACUUCUCAUUUUCUUUAUACCAUUGCUAUAUAAUUAAACACUAAAAUAGUGACGAAUAUCAUCAUUUAUUUUUUUUUGGUUUUGUUAAGUCUGUGUACAUUUGAUAUAGCAUUCCCAUGGU